GGAAAGCAAGCUCUGAGGAACAUCAACUCACUUGCCUUGUUCUCAAAUAUUGAAGUGAAUCCACGACCUGACGAGAAGAAUGAAGGCGGCAUUAUUGUUGAAAUUAAACUUAAAGAACUUGACCAAAAAACUGCCGAGGUCAGUUCAGAAUGGAGCAUUGUUCCUGGGCGUGGUGGACGCCCGACUUUGGCUUCACUGCAGCCUGGUGGAACAGUUACUUUUGAGCAUCGAAAUAUCAAGGGAUUAAAUCGAUCUAUUCUUGGUACUAUAACAACAAGUAACUUUUUCAAUCCUCAGGAUGAC
RNAcentral lists this unclassified non-coding RNA (303 nucleotides) under Hevea brasiliensis (rubber tree). Lineage: Eukaryota; Viridiplantae; Streptophyta; Magnoliopsida; Malpighiales; Euphorbiaceae. The record is from RNAcentral.